This 206-nucleotide long non-coding RNA is filed under the name Eucalyptus grandis. Its description in RNAcentral is "long non-coding RNA (EGRA_LNC006781)". Lineage: Eukaryota; Viridiplantae; Streptophyta; Magnoliopsida; Myrtales; Myrtaceae. The record is from RNAcentral.
ACACUUUGAUCAAAAAGGCGGGGGUACAACUCUCUCAUCGAUUCUUCUAUCUCCCAAGUCGCUCCUUCAGUAUCGUGGUGUUGCCAGAUCACUUUGACCAAUGGAAUGGUCUUUGUACGCAGAACUUGCUCUUUACAAUCGACAAUCUGAAUAAGGCUUUUCACGUAUGACACACGGUCAUCCACGUCCAAUUCCUCGAAAUUGAG